UUUUCCGGGCUACGCCCGGAUUUUUUCUAUAAUAUUAAUUUAAUUUUUAUAUUUAUAUUUAAAAACGAACAAAUAUGAUAUACACUGAAACUUGUUAUAGAAUUAUAAACAUAAAUGCAAAUUUAAAACUAUUUGAAAUAAUUUAUUGUGUUUUAUUGGUGUUUUAUGUUGGAUAUUAGUAAGAUCUGUAUAUAUAUAUUCUUUAUCUUGGUUAUUUCUUUUUAUGUAAAACAAUUGUACAGCUUAUAAUUAGUACUGUAUAAAUUUUGAUUGGUUUUAAAAUUAUUAAGUUUCAUUUUUGUACUUGUCUUUAAAAGAAAGUACCACCGAUUUGUAUACCGUUUCUUUAUUUGUUGUCUUCAAUUUAUCGUUUUAACCAAAACAAUUUUGUCAACCAUCUUAACCAAAAUUUAAAUUAACAUUUAUUGUUGCUAUUUAAUUUCUUUGUUUUUUUAAAGUUUGUUUGUGAUAGAAAGAAAUUUUGCUUCAUGAUUUGAAAUAUUUUUAGUUGUAUUUUUUUUUUUGACAGCUUUUUUUAGUUGUAAAUUUAUAGAAGGUUUACUUUCUUACCGUUGUUGAUGUAAUAUUAAUUUAACAGUUUCUUGUUUUAAUUAUUUAAUUAAUCAGAUUUUUUGGAAAUAAUUUUGAAUAUUAAUACUAUUAUUUUUCUGUUUGCUGGGUAGCAUUUGUGUGCUCGGUCAUCCCUUUAUACAAGGCUGAGAUACUUGCUCAAACAUGGUCUUGAAUGACCUUUCGAAAACAGGUAUGAGUGAGGACUUCAAACCUAACUUAAAAGCUUUCUGAAAUUUAUAAAUGGUAGAUAUAUACAAAAAUUAUCACUGUAUGAGGUCUGGAAUUAUGUUUUAAAUCAAAAAUUCUAAAGAACUCUUAACUUAAAUUUGAUUUAACACAUUGCAAGACAUUUUGUGUGUUUCUAAAAAUAAUUUAUAUACAAAAACGGUUUAAGAAUUCUAACUCCUACGGUUUGAUCAUGGCCUACAAUCUGAGUUGCAAACCUACAAACUGCAUUAUUAUUAUUCUCGUAUUUGCCUCACUUCUUCUUUUGUGUUUCAUGACUUUUUUUUUAGGUUCCAUGACCUUUGUCUAUGAUGCUUUGAUAGUAUUGUGUACAAACUCAAUAUUAAAUUUUACUUUAGUUAUACACAUUCUAAGUUAUUAUCCAGGCUACACAUGUUUAUAUUAAUAAUUUGUUUAUAAUAAUUUUAAAAUUAUCAAAAUAGAAGAUCGUUUUUAAAAUUGUAACCUUUUAAUUAACUACCAUUUUCUAUUUUUGGAUAUAUAUACACAUAAAUUGUGUUUUAAAUAUACUUUUCAUAUGUAAUACACAUUAUGUAAAUAUUUUUUUUGUAUAUGUAAUCUUAUGAUAUAAUAUUUUAUAAUCACAUUUAAUAUGAGUAACAUAUACUAAUUAUUGAAUAAAAUUAAAUUGCAUCUUUUUCCGCAAAACAAUUACUGUUUAAAUAAAAUAUGUUCUAUAAAUAAUUAAAUAUUGAAUAAUUUGAACACUAAUUGUUUUUGUUACAGGAUAUUAUUAUUAGCAUAUUGUUUACAGUUCCAUAAUCUUAAUAUAUGACUGCUGCUACUGAUGUUUAGAAGGACUAUGCUUUUGAUUUGAAAUUGCAAAAUUCUUGAUCCAUUGGUUAUAACAAAUUUGGUUUAGUGUCCUAAACUUUUGAGAGUUCCAAAUUUGGUUUAGUGUCCUAAACUUUUGAGAGUUCCAAAGAUGUGGACGUGGACACUCUAGAUGCUAUAGCUCAAUCCCUUUUCUAUAUUGGGAUUAUUAUCGAGCAGAGUAGCUAACAUUAAACUCUCGAGCUUCCAAUUGUACUUAAACUCUUAAUUUGCACAUGAUAGUAUAUAUAAGAAUAAGAUCAUCAAGAGUAGAAUCGAAGGAGUAUAAGCAGCAUAAGAUUGUGUAGACCUUAUAAACACAGCACCCAUGUGACCUGAGAUAAAGGAACAUAGAGGACAACGGGCUCACCAAGUUCCUUAAGUGGCACAUGCCUUAAUUUUUUUUUAUCAGCACCAUUAACAUCAGUCGGUAAAUCUACGUUGAAGUUUGCAUCCUAUUGUCUUCUACUAUCAGGAAGAAUUGUUCACGUAUAUGAUGGAAGAAUGGCUGUUUAGAGUAGAUUUCUGACAAUAUAUUUUAGAAACUCUCAGGAGCUAACCUUCUGGUAAGCUUUGACCAUAACUUCUCUCACUUCUUUCAAGGGUUUUACUUGAUUCUGCAGAGACCAGACCACAGUCACAUCAUAUACAUAAAGUGAUUAUUACAUAAUUAUUAAAACUGAUAUUUACUCAUGCAACUGCACCUGUAUAUCAGUAAUAGCACGAUUAGCUUGAAGCUGAAAGAAAGAAUUGCUGAGAAGAUUCUUAAUAUUACCAUUUUCACUCCACAACUGAUUUAGAAGCAUGUUAUAAUAGCUCAAAUGGAAGACCCUUAAGAAUAUAAGAAACAAAACAGUCUAGGUCGAUCAGUGGGUUAAUCAUUUUACAUCUUAUGGAUAUAAUAUAUACUAUCAGAUACUUACUAAUGAACAUAAACAAAAAAAGUUAUCACUUCCUUUGAGAAUCGUAGCAACAGUGGGUUCCACCUUCUCAUUAUCAGGAUUAUAAUACUACACAAACAAAUUGAGAGUCAUUUUUUCUACAAUUUUGAUAGAAUAAGCAAAACGUGUUUUGGACAGGAAGCUAAAACCUUCGUUCUCAAAAAUGAGAUGUGGCUUUUAGCCUUGCCUCAAUCUUGUUCCACUUUUGAAGAACCCCGCGAGCACCCUGUUAAUUUGUAUUGAGAAAAGCUAUUGAGCCAACCAAUCCAAACAAAAGUCAGAGAAAAAGAGUUGCAUAAAGAGCAAGAAAGUGUUUGUGAAUGUACUACUUACACUUUCUUCGAUGAUGACAGAGCCUUUUAAGUUUUUUUUUUCUCGAGAAAGGGACGGCUCUGCAUAAAUAUCCAUGCUUCUGUAGCACAAAGCUGCUUGAAGUGUUUCAUGAUCAUAUGGUGAGAUAUGACGCUAAGCCGAGGGAAACCACAUAGCAGCGCAAGCUGGAACACAUCAAGUACAUUCUCAGUGUUACGCAAACCAUGUUGUAAAAGACAUCCACAGAGCAUUUCAGCUGACGAACCACGUACGCAUCACGGAGACAGCAAAUUCAUCAAAAAAAAAAGUCAGCUUUAAUCUUUACUAAGAGAAUGUUAGAAGAAGUGAAGCAAUAUUUUGUACUAAGAGUAAUGGAAACAAAUAAAAACGCAUACCACAAAUUGGUUGAGACUGUAUGCAACUUGCCAUGUCUUUUGGCUUACUUUUGAUAUCACAGUCGAUCCCUGUUAAUUUAAAAACAUAAAAGAGACAGAUUUAGUUUGUAUUCGGUUAAUGAAAGAUCUGAACUACCCAACGAAUAAGUUUUAUAAGUAGGGCUUUACAAUAGUAUUUGCACGAAUUUUUAAAGACGAAGAUAGCAAUAUGAAUUUGAAGAGGUAUUCUAGAGGCUGUACGAACUUGAAUAAGAGAUGAAGAAGGUGGGUUAAGCUGAAAUUAAGAUAUGAAUAAAUAAAGGAUUGGAUGAUUGAGAGUAAAUACUUAAUUGUUAUAACUUCAACGAAACAGAGAGUUGCAGAAAUCAAUCGGCAACACCAUGGAGAAGUGGAAGAGGCAAAAAGAUAUCGACGGUCAUUGGGUGAAGAAAGAGAGUUGGGCUUAUGGCUACAACAAAAUAUUAACAGGCCAUAUUCAGCCCGUGUAAAUUUUAUGCUGCGUAAAGGAACGUAUAUGUGGCAAAUAAAAGCUUUUUCAUUGGCCUGAAUAAAAAAUCUGACGUGGCACGCUGUAUGCUCUGC
Molecule: long non-coding RNA, 3862 nt
Filed under: Brassica rapa (field mustard)
Lineage: Eukaryota; Viridiplantae; Streptophyta; Magnoliopsida; Brassicales; Brassicaceae
Description: long non-coding RNA (BRAP_LNC001341)
Source: RNAcentral